CAGAGUGUGACGCUUAAGAAGAAGACGCAGGGUCGCGAGUCUACACUCAACUUGCCUGUGGCGUUGAUGGGACUCCCUCUUUAUCAGUGUGUUUAUUUGAACUUCCGCUUGGCUUGUAUUAAGUACUCUGGAUUUGUUAAUCGAACCGAUGUAAUAGACAUGUGUAUGGUAUUUCAUCAAUGAAACUGUGUGUGCUAGCAAUUGAUCCAGGGACUAGCACAGUUUACACAGAGGUCCGGAUCCUUACGGGUCUGGGUCGCCACAUCGAUGUGGUCGUGGUAGAGGCUAGGGACGUGCGCGACAUCGAGGCGGACAUCAUGACGCGGUCGAUGCGGUCGGAGACGCAUCCGGGCGGCGACGGUGGAGCUCCGGGCGCGGCUUUGGCAUGGGGUCGGGGACGGCGUGGCCAACGGCAUCAAGAGGUCACGAAACUUUGUCACAAAGGUAGGUAAGGGUCACAUGAGUCUACCGGUGAAAGGAAUCGAAGAACGGAGGUUCGGGGUGAUCUCACCAGCAACAAUGGUGGCGGUGACCGGCGAAGGAAGACGUCGACAUAGCCGGCUGUACAGAGGUUUUGAGGCCAAACUUUCUACAUGGGAGUGGGAGAGGAGAGGCAAAGGCUCAAAGUGACGCGCGUGGAAUCAUUUUAUACUGGCCGAGAAGGGAGAUCGGGCGUGGAUGUCGACGGCCGACAUUCGGGGCGCCUCUUUUGGAAACUGCGGUUAUGAGAGGAAACUUCAAAUCGGUUUCCUGAAUGGGUUCCCGGGAUGGUGAGGAUUGAUGAGGUGGUUUCCUUUCGGAGAGAGACGCGCGGGAAGGAAAGAAAUCAAAAAAAGAAAAUAUGGAAAGAAUGGUUUCCUUAAGUGCACACGAGGAAGACGAGCACCCUGCCUGGGGCGCUCGGUGGAGAUGGGCCGGCCCAGUUGGGUCGGUCCAUUCUCUCUUUUUUUUUCAUUCUUUUCCUUUUUUUUUCAUUUCUAUUUUUAUUAAUAAUUUUUGAUUCCUAACUCCAAAUAAGUCCAAAUAAACUCCAGUAAAUUUGUAAAUUCAAAUCCUCCAAAGUGUGAACUUUUGGGACUUGAAUCCUUUCAAACUAAAAUAAGUAAAAAUACUUUUGAUUAUAUAAAUGUCAUUAGGGCUUUAUAAGUAAUACAUAAAAUUGGUUUUGAAUUCUAUCAUGAAACCUUUGUUUCAUAAAUUAGUUUAAACUCCAACAAAAUAUUAGGUUGGCAUAAUUUGCACUAAAACCCUUACUUAGAUAAAUACCCCAUUGGGUUGAACUCCAAAUAAAAUCUCAUAUUAAUUACAUGGUUCACUAAAUUCCCAAAUAGCUUUAUAACACCAAAUCACAAACCAUGUAAACCAUCACAGAUGUUUCCAACUAUAUAUGUUUGGUAAGUCACGUUAUCCCACUCUCAACAAUGGAAUAAAUGUUGGAAUAACAUUUGCACAUGAGGAUGUCACGUUAUCCUCUUCUCAAAUAUUUGAUAGUUUCCUCUCGAAACAAAAUGAACACGCCAAUGCAAAUAUCGAGAGAAAC
RNAcentral lists this long non-coding RNA (1540 nucleotides) under Brachypodium distachyon (stiff brome). RNAcentral's name for it is "long non-coding RNA (BDIS_LNC001985)". Lineage: Eukaryota; Viridiplantae; Streptophyta; Magnoliopsida; Poales; Poaceae. The record is from RNAcentral.